CCUACGGGAGGCAGCAGUGGGGAAUAUUGGACAAUGGGCGCAAGCCUGAUCCAGCCAUGCCGCGUGUGUGAAGAAGGCCUUCGGGUUGUAAAGCACUUUUGUCCGGAAAGAAAAGCAUUGGGUUAAUACCCCGAUGUCAUGACGGUACCGGAAGAAUAAGCACCGGCUAACUUCGUGCCAGCAGCCGCGGUAAUACGAAGGGUGCAAGCGUUACUCGGAAUUACUGGGCGUAAAGCGUGCGUAGGUGGUUUGUUAAGUCUGAUGUGAAAGCCCUGGGCUCAACCUGGGAAUGGCAUUGGAAACUGGCUUACUAGAGUGCGGUAGAGGGUAGUGGAAUUCCCGGUGUAGCAGUGAAAUGCGUAGAUAUCGGGAGGAACAUCUGUGGCGAAGGCGACUACCUGGACCAGCACUGACACUGAGGCACGAAAGCGUGGGGAGCAAAC
RNAcentral lists this ribosomal RNA (443 nucleotides) under uncultured bacterium. RNAcentral's name for it is "bacterial SSU rRNA". It matches the Rfam family "Bacterial small subunit ribosomal RNA", at positions 338 to 773 of the family's 1533-position model. The record is from RNAcentral.